This 776-nucleotide ribosomal RNA is filed under the name Alcanivorax sp. RNAcentral's name for it is "bacterial SSU rRNA". It matches the Rfam family "Bacterial small subunit ribosomal RNA", at positions 1 to 768 of the family's 1533-position model. Lineage: Bacteria; Pseudomonadati; Pseudomonadota; Gammaproteobacteria; Oceanospirillales; Alcanivoracaceae. The record is from RNAcentral.
GAACUGAAGAGUUUGAUCAUGGCUCAGAUUGAACGCUGGCGGCAGGCCUAACACAUGCAAGUCGAGCGGAAACGAUCCUAGCUUGCUAGGAGGCGUCGAGCGGCGGACGGGUGAGUAACGCGUGAGAAUCUACCCAUGAGUGGGGGACAACCCGGGGAAACUCGGGCUAAUACCGCAUACGCCCUACGGGGUAAAGCAGGGGACCUUCGGGCCUUGCGCUGAUGGAUGAGCUCGCGUCGGAUUAGCUUGUUGGUGAGGUAAAGGCUCACCAAGGCGACGAUCCGUAGCUGGUCUGAGAGGAUGAUCAGCCACACCGGGACUGAGACACGGCCCGGACUCCUACGGGAGGCAGCAGUGGGGAAUAUUGGACAAUGGGGGCAACCCUGAUCCAGCCAUGCCGCGUGUGUGAAGAAGGCCUUCGGGUUGUAAAGCACUUUCAGCAGGGAGGAAGGCUUACCCCUAAUACGGGUGAGUACUUGACGUUACCUGCAGAAGAAGCACCGGCUAAUUUCGUGCCAGCAGCCGCGGUAAUACGAAAGGUGCAAGCGUUAAUCGGAAUUACUGGGCGUAAAGCGCGCGUAGGCGGUGUGUUAAGUCGGAUGUGAAAGCCCAGGGCUCAACCUUGGAAUUGCAUCCGAUACUGGCACGCUAGAGUGCAGUAGAGGGAGGUGGAAUUUCCGGUGUAGCGGUGAAAUGCGUAGAGAUCGGAAGGAACACCAGUGGCGAAGGCGGCCUCCUGGACUGACACUGACGCUGAGGUGCGAAAGCGUGGGGAG